This is a long non-coding RNA of Pongo pygmaeus (Bornean orangutan), 622 nucleotides long. RefSeq lists it as uncharacterized. The record is from RefSeq and is a predicted model, not a curated record. Lineage: Eukaryota; Metazoa; Chordata; Mammalia; Primates; Hominidae. The transcript has 4 exons.
AAGAGGGCAACAGAUGGUUUUGUGAAACAUCAGGCUCCUUAUUUUGAAGAGAAUGGCUGCAAGGAAAAGGAAGGUUCUCUUUAGCUGUGAUACUCAUUCUCUUAGAGAUAGGGAAACUGAGUCACGGUGAGACAGGAUAGGAAUCAAAACUGUGUGGAAAGUUGCAAUCAAUACCUGUCCACCAUGCUAUGCUAGUGGGUCAUUAACGGCUGAGGAUGAGUCGUUGGCAGGGGAGAACUCUCCUCUCUGUAGUGGAAUGGGUCAGUGUGAUGCCUGGAUUGGCCCACCCGAGUGUGGGAGCAGAUGCUCUCCUUGGACUGUACGGCAUCUUGAGUAGACUUUCAAGAAUCGAAGGGUAAACUUGAGACACGGGUUUGAAAGUGAGGACACUACAGCGCUGGCUUCAAAUAAGACAUACAGGAAAACUCAUGAUCCUCGCUCAUUUCAUUUCAGAUGAAAACUGCUUUCCAGUGAAAAUCAGAAGGGGAAAUGAACUGUAAUUUUUCUGAGAAAAAGAACAUGGAAUAAAAGGGCCUACAUUCUCUUUCCUGCAUUCUCAUCAUUCUACAGUUAUUUGGGGUUUUUGUCUCUCCCACUUGAUGUAAAUAUUCAUAAAACCUCA